AGAACGAACGCUGGCGGCAUGCCUAACACAUGCAAGUCGAACGAGACCUUCGGGUCUAGUGGCGCACGGGUGCGUAACGCGUGGGAAUCUGCCCUUAGGUUCGGAAUAACAGUUAGAAAUGACUGCUAAUACCGGAUAAUGUCUUCGGACCAAAGAUUUAUUGCCUAAGGAUGAGCCCGCGUAAGAUUAGCUUGUUGGUGAGGUAAAGGCUCACCAAGGCGACGAUCUUUAGCUGGUCUGAGAGGAUGAUCAGCCACACUGGGACUGAGACACGGCCCAGACUCCUACGGGAGGCAGCAGUGGGGAAUAUUGGACAAUGGGCGAAAGCCUGAUCCAGCAAUGCCGCGUGAGUGAUGAAGGCCUUAGGUGUAAAGCUCUUUACCCGGGAUGAAUAAUAGACAGUAACCGGAGAAGUAACGCCCCGACUAACUCCGCGACCAGCAGCCGAC
Molecule: ribosomal RNA, 449 nt
Filed under: uncultured soil bacterium
Lineage: Bacteria
Description: bacterial SSU rRNA
Rfam family: Bacterial small subunit ribosomal RNA
Source: RNAcentral